AUUGAACGCUGGCGGCAGGCCUAACACAUGCAAGUCGAGCGGAUGAAGGGAGCUUGCUCCUGGAUUCAGCGGCGGACGGGUGAGUAAUGCCUAGGAAUCUGCCUGGUCGUGGGGGAUAACGUCCGUACACGGGCGCUAAUACCGCAUACGUCCUGAGGGAGAAAGUGGGGGAUCUUCGGACCUCACGCUAUCAGAUGAGCCUAGGUCGGAUUAGCUAGUUGGUGGGGUAAAGGCCUACCAAGGCGACGAUCCGUAACUGGUCUGAGAGGAUGAUCAGUCACACUGGAACUGAGACACGGUCCAGACUCCUACGGGAGGCAGCAGUGGGGAAUAUUGGACAAUGGGCGAAAGCCUGAUCCAGCCAUGCCGCGUGUGUGAAGAAGGUCUUCGGAUUGUAAAGCACUUUAAGUUGGGAGGAAGGGCAGUAAGUUAAUACCUUGCUGUUUUGACGUUACCAACAGAAUAAGCACCGGCUAACUUCGUG
This 484-nucleotide ribosomal RNA is filed under the name uncultured bacterium. RNAcentral's name for it is "partial 16S ribosomal RNA". It matches the Rfam family "Bacterial small subunit ribosomal RNA", at positions 30 to 507 of the family's 1533-position model. The record is from RNAcentral.